This 2022-nucleotide long non-coding RNA is filed under the name Junco hyemalis (dark-eyed junco). RNAcentral describes it as "lncRNA (ENSJHYG00000010352.1)". The record is from RNAcentral. Lineage: Eukaryota; Metazoa; Chordata; Aves; Passeriformes; Passerellidae.
AUACCUAAGAUUUACAUGCUUAAGCACCUUUCCAGUUAUGGACUGCAUUUUUUUACAUAAACUGUUUUCCAGAAUAUACCAUUCAAUUAAACAGUGGUUGGGUACUUCAUUCUGUUUUGGCAGCCUGCUACUUUUUGUACCCAAUAUGUCUUUCAAGAGCCAUUUACACUCAGAAUGGAUAAUUGUAAGGAGUUAUUUCAUUGAAUCAUCAUCAUAUAUUGCUUUGGGUUUGAAAGGAUCUUGAAGAUCAUCUAUGUUCAACAGUUAUGGACUUUUCCCAUAACAUUUCUCAUACUAUUGGGACAAAGGUGGUCUCAAAAUUAUUUACUAGCAUGGAAUAUGAGCUAAUAUGAUGAUUUGACUGUGAUCAUCUAUAUGAUGAUUUGUCUGAUCACAGACAAAUCACCUUGCAUGGGAACAGAAGCACUGAAAGAAGCGGAAGAGCGAGCCAGGAAACAAAAAUGAAAGCAAAACAAACCUCCAAACCAAUUUUCCUUCUGGGAUGGUGGAACAAACAAUUGGAAGCAAAUUACUUAAUAAUAGACUGAUAACAACAUUUUGUUCUCCAGGGUAUUUAUCCCACUCAGUUUCCACAGUAAAGUGAAGACGGUUCACCCAGAGCAUUUUGAACAGCACCUGAUACAAAUGCUCCCCUUCAACUCUCUGGAGAAACCUUUCUUCACUGAUUACAGACAAAGCCCAAGGACACUACCAAAGCAUUUAAUGACAACCAUUAAAAUAAAUAGCUGAAAGAAAUAUAACCUAUCUUCUGAGAUGGAAGAUGUGAGGCAAAGAAGAAAUAAGAAGCUGCUGCAUAGUGACAAAUGUAGCAAUUCAUGAACUGUGACUGAAUAGGUCUGCAGGAGGUGGUGGAGGGAAACACACCUUUCCCUGUCAGCAGGAGAUGCCCUGCUCAGGGGUUUCAUUACCUGGAGGAGAAUCAGAACUAAAUGGAAAUGCAAUGGAGUACUGGUGCCCAUGGAGCAUUAGCCUCUUGACAUCAUCAGCACUACUGGAGCUGGAAUAUAGCACUGUCAGGUCACAGAGGCUGACAUAUAUAAUUACACAAGACCACUACCACUGGAAGAGAGUUAUGUUCUGCUUUCCUUUCUGGUUUGGCUUUCAAAAAAACAAAAAAAAGGUCGGUAAGAUUUCUCACAGAGUCUGUGGAUUUGCUGCUUCCCCCACUUUUUUCACCCUGUGUGAAGAUGAAGAUCCUGAUGCUGUUUGAUCAUGGACACACUGGUCUCUGCAGGGCAUGUAUCAGCAGGUGAGCCAAAGGCAAGAAAAAGGACCAACAGAGGAAUGUUGAUCCACCAUAACCACAGUGGAGUCCACCAGGCCAAACCACACCUCCUAAGGAAGGAUUCUGGAUGUGCAAACACAUGUGAAAGCAGUAUGGAGAAAUAAGAGCCAGUUUGCUGAGUAAAACCCUUGCUCUUGAGAAUCCCAAACCUGCAAUAUGCUCAUGAAGUUUGACCAGCUCUAAUUUAGGCCCAUGAACUGGACAGCCACUAGGCACAGCAGCACAAAGCAGUGAGACACAGAGUACAGAAAUGGCUCAGUUACACUUGAGGCAAAUCAAGCUUGCAAGUUCCAGCACUGUUCAGUGAUGUGAAACAAGCGAUGCUGUGUGGGUGCAUUUGGGAAUGCACUUCUGACCCAAAUGAAAAUGCUGAUUUAGACCAUGUGAACUCUCUUUUCUUCAGCCCAAAAGCUGCUCAGUUUGAGAUAUUUUCAAAGUACUUUCUUGAGAGUAAGGCCGUAUAAAUUGUCAUCAAUCCUAGUAACUAUUCCUUUGCCCUUUUAGUCAUGUUGGCCUGCUUUUUACCUUUUCUUUCUGCUGUAUAUCACCCAUUCAUAAAAAUGUUACAUGAUAGGGAUUGAUGUCCUUCUCUAACCAAACAAUAUCUUCAGUUACUGUGACAAAGAAUAACACUGCUGAAUUAUGUAUCAAGUAGUACAGAAAACAGUUCUGUCAAAAAAAAUAAAACUAGCAAUCUUAGAAAAUAUUUAAAUGAG